CACACACACUGCACUCCUUAUACAUUGCACCACUCACACACACCACUGCUCCUAUGCCCUACUACAGCCCCAUUUCCCAGCAGACCUCAGAUAAGUUGUCAAACUGUUAUUAAACGGUUUGAUUACUUACUCUGGGAGGGGGUCCCGGCACUAUUGACACCAUAACCGCUACACUGAGCUGUAGUGGUUAUUGUGUCUGGAUUAUUUCUUUAAAUAAUCUACAAGUGCCCCUCCCAAGAUCAGGCUCUGGAUCCGCCACUGGUUCGGCCGCAAUUAAGCUGCCCAUGGCCGAAGGGAGACCUGUCAGUCUCCCUUCUAAAUUUACAUCAAUUUUGGCCGCAUGACCUGCAUGGAAGCCCGCCUCCUGAAUGAAAGCUCCAUCUCCCGAACGCAAGCUCCGCCCCCCACGCACGUUACUGACCUCACUGGAAGAAAGAUGCAAAAUGGCAACUUCACCUACCAGUGCCAGAUAAGCUUCAGCCAUGACAAUGAUUGUGUUUGUGUGCCUGCUAGUGAGUGAGCUUCUGUGUGUGUGUGUGUGUGUGUGUGCCUGCUAGUGAGUGAGCUUGUGCAUGUGUGCCUGCUAGUGAGUGAGCUUGUGUGUGUGUGUGCCUGCUAGUGAGUGAGCUUGUGUGUGUGUGUGCCUGCUAGUGAGUGAGCUUGUGCAUGUGUGCCUGCUAGUGAGUAAACAUGUGUGUGUGCUUGCUAGUGAGUGAGCUUUGUGUGUGUGUG
Non-coding RNA from Pelobates cultripes (western spadefoot toad), 732 nucleotides. The record is from the annotation of a GenBank genome assembly. Lineage: Eukaryota; Metazoa; Chordata; Amphibia; Anura; Pelobatidae.